This is a non-coding RNA of Acanthosepion pharaonis, 112 nucleotides long. Lineage: Eukaryota; Metazoa; Mollusca; Cephalopoda; Sepiida; Sepiidae. The record is from the annotation of a GenBank genome assembly.
UUACGGCCAUAUAACGCUGAAAAACCGGUUCCCGUACGAUUGCCAAAGUUAAACAAUGUCGAGCCUCGUCAGUACCUAGAUGGGUGAUCGUCUGGGAAUAACAGGGUCUGUA